Oncorhynchus tshawytscha (Chinook salmon) is the source of this 1457-nucleotide long non-coding RNA. The record is from Ensembl. Lineage: Eukaryota; Metazoa; Chordata; Actinopteri; Salmoniformes; Salmonidae.
GCAGGCAUCUGUCAGAGUGUUCUCUAUCAUUUCUACUCACCUGCUUGGAUGCCAGCUGGUAGUGUGGUGGAAACGGCCACCGUGAGCACAGGGGGGACUGGUAGGGUGGCUGCAGGGGGCUGGAAGCAGCUCUGCACCUCGUCAGCCACAAAGCCACAGACAGAGCUCAUAUAAAAAGGGCUCUGCAGGUCAUCUGUGGAGAAGGACUGACUGAUUCUCCCGAGGAUCGACCGCACAGAGUCAAAAGCAGCAGCCCGGGAGAAAGGGAUGUGAGGGGAAGGGUCCUUUAACAUGCAGGAGAGCUUCUCCACUACGGCCGCCACCAUGCCCACGGCCAUCCCGCUUAUUAGGAUUGGGUGCUCUGAAUGGCCUUCCUCUGGUUGAAGCCACAGGGCCAGGAGGAGUCUGGGCACCACCUCCACCACCACCUGAGAUGGGCUGAGCAGGUUGCUACGGGGCUCAUUGGACUGCUCGCCCAGAAUGCUUCUCACAGCUUUCUCCACGAUGCUGUGGACCUUCGGAUCGCUGAAAUCAACAAUAAGGAGAAAACAAAGGUAAACGAUGUGCAAUGUACUCACUUAGAACACUGUCUUAGUCUGUUUCUGCGUAGUUCCAGAUGUGUAGAUAAAUGGAUCAAGUCAUAUGCAGGGCAGUACAUGGAACUCACAUGUCAGCUGGCGAGGUGGGGUGCAUGGAGCGGCGGAGCUUGCAGAAAACCUCGUGCUCUAUGUUCAUCAUUUUUAGGCAAGUGUUUACUUCCCAGGCCUGCAGUAUGAAACAGGAAGUCCCAUUGGUGUAAUUUCACAACAGAUCUAUUUUGCUGUGCUAACUCGUUGUUGAAAGGCUAGUAAAGAGCUCACUAACUUGUAGUUUGUCUCUAACUCUCAUUCUCUUACCAGCCGAGUGAGGUCAUUUCCCUCCUCCAGGGUUUCCUUCCACACCCUUCAAAUAAAACACAGAGCAAUUAAACUUUCCUGGCUUAUGAUUUUUCUGUUGUUUAUUUUACCCACACCUCCUGGAGUGCUGCUGGUUGCAGGGAAUGGCAGUGAAGGUGAGUGCUGACGUGGUACUCACCUCUCCCUAAGAGAUUUUUUGCCCUGAGACACCAGCCAUUUGCUCAUGUGCUCCGUGGUGACAUGGGGAGGGACCUGGCCUUGACUCUGGAGCAGCAGAUAGUGGACCAUGAGCUUCUUCUGCAAGAUGAGGUAAGGUGUGAGACCGUGCCACGAAAUACCAUAUCAUGUGCUUUCAGAAGGGCCUCUCGCAACAUUUCACAACUGCUCAUGCCUCACAAUUUGCAAGUGAUUGUUAAGAACUCUUAUGACCACCUUCUCUAAACUGUCUUGAAAUACAACUCUUUCUGUUGUUUAUGUUUUUGUGGGAUGAAUCUUACCUGUUUAUUGUAAUAUGUUUCCUCCCAGCAGGCCUGCAGAGUCUGAAAAUAAAGGCUGCUUCUA